RNAcentral lists this long non-coding RNA (5697 nucleotides) under Homo sapiens (human). RNAcentral describes it as "HSALNT0025816". Lineage: Eukaryota; Metazoa; Chordata; Mammalia; Primates; Hominidae. The record is from RNAcentral.
GCAGCAUUGCAGAAGGGAGGAGGUGGAGAUUCUGUCCUCAGUGCCUAGGGCCCUGCCUGGAUCUGGUUUUGCAGAGGGGAGGACGUAGAGAUUCUGUCCUCAGUGCCCAGGGCCCUGCCUGGAUCUGGUUUUGCAGAGGGGAGGACGUAGAGAUUCUGUCCUCAGCGCCCAGGGCCCUGCCUGGAUCUGGUUUUGCAGCUCCAGGGGAAACGUUUUGCACAAAUUCUCACUGGGAGCAUUAUCAGGGCUGCAGCACUUCAGUCUCUCCUGAUCUGAAUCCUUUUAACAUUAGCUGUGAUGCUGAGAAGGAUGAAAUUGAUGACACCAACAUCUGGUGGAAGACAAAAACCAGAGGGAUUUCCACCCAGGCAGAGCCCCUCCGCAGGCCUCCCCUCUUUGUGGCCUGAGGUCGGAGAGGCCUCUGGAGCAAGCCAGCGGAUGGAAUUCUCAGUUUUCUUCCAUUUGAUUAUUUUCCUAUUUUGACGUCUUUGAAAAAUGGCUCAGCCUUAUGGUGCAUGCGUUUUCUGAUUGCUUUUGUCUUUGUUUUAUUCUGAAUCAAGGACCGUGGCCACUGUGGGCUCCUCAUCCAGGACGUGGGGGCCCUCCGGGGCCUCAGUCCAUCCAUGCUGCAGUACAUGGUGAUUCUCAUGCAGAGGAUGAUCUCAGGGAUCAGCUUGAGCUGGCAGAGAAUUAAAUUAUAUGGUUUAUAAGAGUCCUGCCUCAGGGUCAGUGACACCAGGCCUGUCUCUGCUGCUAGCAAGGCCGACUUUCUUAUGUGCUGUCAUCGUGGUAAAAGCCUUGCCCACGUGAUGAAGACCCUGGACGGCUCUACUUGAGACAGAUUUCAGCUACGUUGCCUGGGAGUCUCUGGUACUUCUUCAAGGUUCUACUGAAGACAAUGACGUCAUCCAAGUACCUUGCAGUGCCUAAGUAGCUCUUGCCGCGGGAGCUCUGAGACCCCCUGUUAUCUAUUUUCGAAUUGGCCAAGGACCCCCGGCCAGGCAGGGGAUGCUCUGCCCAUCCUCGUCAGCCCUCGUGUCUUGUGAUCCUCCCCCAGCCUCCUGGCAAGCAUCCCUGUGCUUUCCGCGGGUGAGCGUGGCUGAGCUCAGUCUCGCUUACUACAACGGCAGGCACGAGGUCUGCGGAACUAAGAAGGCUCCUCUUUGCUCACUGGCCUUUCCUUUAAGUCCCUGGUCACUAACCUCUGGCAAGACAAUCCUUCUUGUGUUUUCUGGCGAUGGACUUGAGUGAUUACAAUGUGCCCUAGAGAGGACAGAUGCAUGGCUGUGGAGUCUUGUUCUGUGAUAUGUCAGGUAUGUGCUUGGGCGCGCGGAGGCUGCAGGAGGUGGACAGGAAUGGUCUUUCUCUUGCUCUGAGUCGCAUGUGUGGGCCAGCCCACGGGUUCUGUGGAGGAGAAUCCAGCUGCCCACCUGGCUGAGUCUAGCCCUGGGCUGGCGAUGGCCGAACCCCAGUUCCAUUCCCGGACCUUCCCUAGGCUGCUGGGUGGGUUCCCUGGCCACUGUCGCUGGGCUAAUCCAUUCUAUCUUCUCCUGGGGCGAGGCCAUUGCCGUGCUGUGCUGGUGCUGGCUCUUCAGGCAGCUCUUCAGCUCCGUGGCUCCCGGCCCAGCCCAGGCCUAACACAGGCCUGUCCCUAGUGUUCGUGCACUGAGCUUUGUGUCUAUUGCUGGUUUUUCUUUUCUUUUAAAACUUACUUCGCAGAAGGAAUUCGGCCUGAGCAGCUGAGCUUCCGUGGUAGCCUCUCCUGCUCAAAGCCGUCGUUUGCUCCCAUAUACCUGGCCUGCCAGUUUCCAUUCUCUCUUUCCCUUGUUUCAUCUUUUCUGCAGUAGGUCCUCUAGUUUCAACCACAGGUGUUUACAGUGUUGCAGUUUUAAUUUGUCGUUGUUGCAUUUAGUUUACUUGACGCACGUUCAAAACUGCAAAAUGCUGGUUCCUACCCGUCUCUGAUGUCACCAAAGGCUGCCCAGAGGCCUGCAGCACAUUGACGAUGGUCUUAGUAUUACACAGCUGUCUGACCAGUACCACAAAUCCAGAGUCCAAGCAGCUCAGGUUUGCCUUCUCCCUGUCUGUGUGGGUCCAGCGCCCUGGGCUCAGCAGGGCCUCCUGCUCCUGCUCCUGUAGGGUGGGCUGGGCCUUCCCACACGGGCCUGGGGAGGAGCCUCUCCUAGGUGCUGGCAGGGCCCUGGCCUUUACUUAUUCCCUCUGAUGCCAGCCAGCUACUGCAGCCCUGGUGGCGUCUCCCUGGGGGUGCCCGGGUGCAGGUGUCCGCUGCCGGGCCGUGGGUGUCUCAUUCUGUGUCCGGACCUCUCUGUGAUGUGAACCUUGGGCUUUUUUUUUUUUUUUUUUUUUUUUUCAGAUGUUAAGGGAGUCCACCACAUGUUUCCAUGGUAACGGCUCCUUUUCCUGGUUUACUGGAGGGUUCUGACGGUCAAGGCCUCCUGUGUAUUGACUGGGUUAUCGCCUGGGGGUUUUAUUGCUUUGUCUUUUACAUUUAGUUUUACUGUUCCUGGAACUGAAUUUGUUUGUGAUGUGAGUCAGAAAUCCUGUCACAUUUUUCCACGUGGAUAUCCAGGGCCCCCGCCGUUUGUGGGAAGGCCGCACCUUCUGCCCGCUCUGCUGUCCAUCCGCGUGCCCAUCUCCAUGGGUUUCUCUCUGCACGGCUUGUUCUGUCCUGCAUGUCCAUCCUUGAGAUCGUUUUUCUCUGGCUUAAUGAUUACAGCUGUACGGUGAGUCUACAGUUAUUCCAAGUUUAUUUAGACAAGAUUUUCUUAACCUUGUAAAUUAUUCUAGGGUUUUUUAUAUUAUUAUUAAACCCAUAGGACUCUUUGGUGAAAACUGACAUAGUUAAAAUGGUUGAGUCUUUCAGUUCAAUUAGGUCUUUCUUUUCUGUAAUAUUUUCUGGACUUCUCCAUUCAAGUCUCAUGCAUUUUUUUGUUAGGAGUGUUGCUAAGAUUUAACUUUUCUAACCCACUGUAAAAGUGUUACCAGGGGGUCCUUGCUCCCAGAACUCCUAAGAUGGUGGCAGGUCGCUUCCAAAAUGGCGGCGGCCCACUUCCAAGAUGGUGGCAAGCCUACUGUUCUCUGACCUGGGGUUCUUGGCCUCACGGAUUCCAAGGAAUGGAAUCUUGGGCCAUCCGGUGAGUGUUACAGCUCUAUUAGAAGCCGUGGGUCACGGAAGAGAACCAUGGAACCCAGUGACUAGUGUUCAGCUCAAUUAGGACGAACUGAGGCACUUAGCCAUGCAGAAACAAUGGCAAGACCUUAGCCUGAUCCAUCGGGAGUGGCAAUGGGCGCCUCGCUGGAUCAGGAGCACAGCGGACACCCUGCCGGCUCUGGAGAGAUGGAAGUCAGCGGCGGGUCUACGACGGCAGCAAACAGCAGUGGUGGAGGGCGAGCGAAAGCUCAGCUCCAGCCGUAACAAACACGGACCAGAAGAGUGCAGUUGCAAGAUUUAAUAGAGUGAAAUAGAGUGAAAACAGAGCUCCCAUACAAAGGAAGGGGACCCAAAGAGGGUAGCCAUUGCCAGCUCCAAUGCCUGGGUUUAUAUCCCAAUCACUGUCCCUCCCGCUGUGCUCUCAGGCAGUAGAUGAUUGGCUAUUUCUUUACCUCCUGUUUUUGCCUUAUUAGCAUUUUAGUGAGCUCUGUGAUUGGUCAGGUGUGAGCUAAGUUGCAAGCCUGGUGUUUAAAGGUGGAUGUGGUCACCUUCUCAGCUAGGCUUAGGGAUUCUUAGCCUAGGAAAUCCAGCUAGUCCUGUCUCUCAAAAGUAUCUUUUACAUUUUAUUUUCUAAUUGUUUAUUGCUUGUAUGUUAAAAUAAAGUGAAUAUUUAUGUUGAUUUUUAUUCAGCAUCUUGUUAAAAUUCAGUUGACUUUACAAAUUCAUUUUCAUACUUUAUUGUAUACUUUAUAUAUACAAUCAUGUGAUCUGUGUAUAAAGGUGGGUUUUUAUAUUUCUCUCCAAUUCUUACACAUUUUCUGUUGUUCCAGUUUCAUUUUCAUGGCUGGGAUCUGCAGGACGAGCUUACAUAUAGGUAAUGAUAAUGGACUUCCUUGCUUCAUUUUCCAUCUCAGGAUGGACAGUGUUCAACCUUCUAUGACUAAUUACAGCCAUGCUGUAGGCUUUUCAUAGAUACCCUUUUUUUUUGACUCAGGAAUUACAUUCUCUUCUUAUUCCUGGUUUGCUAAACCUUUUGUAUUAAUGGUGUCAACUAUGAAUAUAUAUUGCAUUUCAUCAAAUACUUUUUUUCUGCAUCAAUCAAUACGAUUUAUCUUUCUUCUGUUAAUAUGGUGAUUUACAUUAAUUUGUCUUAGAAUGUUCAUUUCUUUCAGGUCCUUGCUGAUUUUUUUGCCUGCCUUUUCCAUUAGUUCCUGAGACAAGCAUUUUAAAACCAAACAACAUAACUGAGGAGCUGUCUGUCACCCUUCGUGAUUCUGAAAACACGUGCUGCAUGUGUUUUGAGGUUGUUAUUUGGAGCAUGUGCAUUUACAAUUGUCUUACUGCCUUUGCAGUUUGAGUUUUUAUUAAAUGUUUCUCUUCAUCUCUGGUCAUGCUUUAUGCCGUAGAGUCUGUUAUUAGCAGAGCUACUCCAGGUUUAUUUUUCAUGAUAUUAUUUUCACUUCUUUUUACUUUCCAACUUUUAUAUCAUUAUGUUGAAGGUAUCUCUUUUGUUAAUCACAUAGUUGCAUUGUGUUUUCUUUUUUCAAAUAUGUAUGAGCAGCAUAAAAUUGGAUGUUCCUUUGAAACAACAGCAGUCAGAAGUCCAUGAGGAGGUGUCUUCUGACUGCGAGGAUAAGGGUGGAUCACCUUAAUGCAAUCAGGGAAUGAUGUGUUAGAAGCAUCUAUAGUUCCUGCUUCCCCUAAUUUCUAGCUGUAGCCAUUUGAAGAUUCUAAGCAAGUCCUCAACUGUUCAGCAGAGCCUCUGGUCCAGCAUGAGACCAAAACCCAGGUAUUGUUUCUCUGCUCCUUUGAGACUUCAGAAACCUCUGCUGUGGUUUUCAGUGUCUCAGAAUUGGCCAUCAUCUCUAUCAAAACAGCCUCAGCGGCUGAGCUCCUCGCCCCGUCUCCUUCCCCACAUAGGAGCUGGUCUCGCCCUUGGCCCUCCUAACUCUCCAGCGUGUCCAGCCUGACUGGGAGAAACGUCCUGUUCAGGCUCCCAGUUUCUCCGCCUGUGCUGAGACCUUGUUUCCCAGGACCUCGGUGGACUUGGCUUUCAUGACUGGUGCCUCACCCCAGCACAUGUGCCUAAAAUAACAGAAAAAUACAGUGCCUGCAUGUUGGGAGCAAGCCCCCCAAAGUCUGGCCCCAAAACUGGCCAUAAAUAAAAUCUCUGCAGCAAUGUAACAUGUCCAUAAUGGCCAUAAAGCCCAAGCUGGAAGGUUGUGGGUUUACAGGAAUGACGGUAAGGAACACCUGGCCCGCUCAGGGCGGAAAACUGGUUAAAGGCAUUUUUAAGCCAUAAACAAUUAGCCUGAGCGAUCUGUGCCUUAAGGGCGUGUUCCUGCUGCAAUUAAUUCAGCCCAUCCCUUCGUUUCCCUUAAGGGAUACUUUCAGUUAAUUUAAUAUCCAUAGAAACAAUGCUAAUGACUGGUUUGCUGUUAAUAAAUAUGUGGGUAAAUCUCUGUUCGGGGCUCUCAGCUCUGAAGGCUGUGAGACCCCUGAUAUCCCACUUUACACCUCUGUAU